Molecule: ribosomal RNA, 2024 nt
Filed under: Escherichia coli
Lineage: Bacteria; Pseudomonadati; Pseudomonadota; Gammaproteobacteria; Enterobacterales; Enterobacteriaceae
Description: bacterial LSU rRNA
Rfam family: Bacterial large subunit ribosomal RNA
Source: RNAcentral
CGAUGAAGGACGUGCUAAUCUGCGAUAAGCGUCGGUAAGGUGAUAUGAACCGUUAUAACCGGCGAUUUCCGAAUGGGGAAACCCAGUGUGUUUCGACACACUAUCAUUAACUGAAUCCAUAGGUUAAUGAGGCGAACCGGGGGAACUGAAACAUCUAAGUACCCCGAGGAAAAGAAAUCAACCGAGAUUCCCCCAGUAGCGGCGAGCGAACGGGGAGCAGCCCAGAGCCUGAAUCAGUGUGUGUGUUAGUGGAAGCGUCUGGAAAGGCGUGCGAUACAGGGUGACAGCCCCGUACACAAAAAUGCACAUGCUGUGAGCUCGAUGAGUAGGGCGGGACACGUGGUAUCCUGUCUGAAUAUGGGGGGACCAUCCUCCAAGGCUAAAUACUCCUGACUGACCGAUAGUGAACCAGUACCGUGAGGGAAAGGCGAAAAGAACCCCGGCGAGGGGAGUGAAAAAGAACCUGAAACCGUGUACGUACAAGCAGUGGGAGCACGCUUAGGCGUGUGACUGCGUACCUUUUGUAUAAUGGGUCAGCGACUUAUAUUCUGUAGCAAGGUUAACCGAAUAGGGGAGCCGAAGGGAAACCGAGUCUUAACUGGGCGUUAAGUUGCAGGGUAUAGACCCGAAACCCGGUGAUCUAGCCAUGGGCAGGUUGAAGGUUGGGUAACACUAACUGGAGGACCGAACCGACUAAUGUUGAAAAAUUAGCGGAUGACUUGUGGCUGGGGGUGAAAGGCCAAUCAAACCGGGAGAUAGCUGGUUCUCCCCGAAAGCUAUUUAGGUAGCGCCUCGUGAAUUCAUCUCCGGGGGUAGAGCACUGUUUCGGCAAGGGGGUCAUCCCGACUUACCAACCCGAUGCAAACUGCGAAUACCGGAGAAUGUUAUCACGGGAGACACACGGCGGGUGCUAACGUCCGUCGUGAAGAGGGAAACAACCCAGACCGCCAGCUAAGGUCCCAAAGUCAUGGUUAAGUGGGAAACGAUGUGGGAAGGCCCAGACAGCCAGGAUGUUGGCUUAGAAGCAGCCAUCAUUUAAAGAAAGCGUAAUAGCUCACUGGUCGAGUCGGCCUGCGCGGAAGAUGUAACGGGGCUAAACCAUGCACCGAAGCUGCGGCAGCGACGCUGAUGCGUUGUUGGGUAGGGGAGCGUUCUGUAAGCCUGCGAAGGUGUGCUGUGAGGCAUGCUGGAGGUAUCAGAAGUGCGAAUGCUGACAUAAGUAACGAUAAAGCGGGUGAAAAGCCCGCUCGCCGGAAGACCAAGGGUUCCUGUCCAACGUUAAUCGGGGCAGGGUGAGUCGACCCCUAAGGCGAGGCCGAAAGGCGUAGUCGAUGGGAAACAGGUUAAUAUUCCUGUGCUUGGUGUUACUGCGAAGGGGGGACGGAGAAGGCUAUGUUGGCCGGGCGACGGUUGUCCCGGUUUAAGCGUGUAGGCUGGUUUUCCAGGCAAAUCCGGAAAAUCAAGGCUGAGGCGUGAUGACGAGGCACUACGGUGCUGAAGCAACAAAUGCCCUGCUUCCAGGAAAAGCCUCUAAGCAUCAGGUAACAUCAAAUCGUACCCCAAACCGACACAGGUGGUCAGGUAGAGAAUACCAAGGCGCUUGAGAGAACUCGGGUGAAGGAACUAGGCAAAAUGGUGCCGUAACUUCGGGAGAAGGCACGCUGAUAUGUAGGUGAAGUCCCUCGCGGAUGGAGCUGAAAUCAGUCGAAGAUACCAGCUGGCUGCAACUGUUUAUUAAAAACACAGCACUGUGCAAACACGAAAGUGGACGUAUACGGUGUGACGCCUGCCCGGUGCCGGAAGGUUAAUUGAUGGGGUCAGCGCAAGCGAAGCUCUUGAUCGAAGCCCCGGUAAACGGCGGCCGUAACUAUAACGGUCCUAAGGUAGCGAAAUUCCUUGUCGGGUAAGUUCCGACCUGCACGAAUGGCGUAAUGAUGGCCAGGCUGUCUCCACCCGAGACUCAGUGAAAUUGAACUCGCUGUGAAGAUGCAGUGUACCCGCGGCAAGACGGAAAGACCCCGUGA